GUGCUCGCUUCAGCAGCACAUAUACUAAAAUUGGAACGACAGAGAGAAGAUUAGCAUAGACCCUGUGCAAGGCUGACAUGCAGAUUUGUGAAGCAUACCACAUUUUU
This 107-nucleotide small nuclear RNA is filed under the name Catagonus wagneri (Chacoan peccary). Lineage: Eukaryota; Metazoa; Chordata; Mammalia; Artiodactyla; Tayassuidae. The record is from RNAcentral.